GUUACUGUUUGCUCUCUUCAUGGUGUCUGGCCUGAUUCUUCUCCUUGCUCCUCUCAUUUGUGUCCUUUUGAUUUUUGGGAUUUUUUUGGAUGUAGUUUUCUUGGAUCAUCUUCUUUUUUUGGAGGUAUUUUCCUUGGAUUAUCAGUCUCAUUAGUUCCUCUUACAACCCAGCCUGAUUUCAUCUCAGCUAAGGAGGGAGGACAGUGAUAGGACAGUCAACGGAAAGAGAAAGUGUGUUGUCAUGAGCUCCAUGCUGGAGUCCAGGGGUCCAGGGAUCAGCAUCCCACUUCAUAUCGGACAUCCUGGGAGGAGGAAGGCGACACAAGGAUGGCAAGUGGGGCAGCAGAAAAGAGCACAGCAACAAACCCAACGAUGCAACCAGAGGCAUAAAGAACUAUGUUUAGUUCAAGAAGAACGAGGAUUCCUGCAACAGAUGGUCUGGCCCACACAGAGACCUGAUCUCAGCAACAUGGAGUCCGUCUGGGAUUGUACGAAGAAACAGAAAACGCUGAGACAGUAGGUCAGGUACAGCCAGCGUGUACGAGGAUUCAUCUCCAGGCUCUGCUCCUGUCUAUUGGAGACAUUACGAGAAACAGAAGAAGGAAAGUAAUGAAGAUGAAUAUGUGCAUAAAUUAUUCUGCCUUAUGUGCACCUUUUAAUGAAUAGAAAAAUAAAG
This is a long non-coding RNA of Amphiprion ocellaris (clown anemonefish), 676 nucleotides long. RefSeq lists it as uncharacterized. Lineage: Eukaryota; Metazoa; Chordata; Actinopteri; Pomacentridae. The transcript has 5 exons. The record is from RefSeq and is a predicted model, not a curated record.